Molecule: long non-coding RNA, 381 nt
Filed under: Marmota monax (woodchuck)
Lineage: Eukaryota; Metazoa; Chordata; Mammalia; Rodentia; Sciuridae
Source: RNAcentral
UAGGUAAUCUGCUCUCUCCAGAAGGUUCUGCUGGUUCUUUCAGCUUUGGGUACCCAGCUCUGCAUUGUGUUGCCAUGAUGGACCACUGUCCUGUGCUCAUGCUCAGCCAGAAUACAAACUGUGAGUAUGGAAGAAAAGUUCAAUCUGCAAACAUCAGUGCUGCUAAGACUAUUGCAGAUAUCAUCCAAACAUGUAUGGGACCCAAGUCCAUGAAGAUGCUUUGGGACCCAACAGGAGGCAUCAUGGUGACCAAUUAUGGCAAUGCCAUUCUUCAAGAGAUUCAAGCCCAACAUCCAGCAGCCAUGUCCAUGAUUGAUAUUAGCGGGACCCAGGAUGAAGAAGCUGGAAAUGGAAACACAUCAGUAAUUAUUCUUGCUGUAG